This 73-nucleotide transfer RNA is filed under the name Camelus bactrianus (Bactrian camel). It matches the Rfam family "tRNA". Rfam says of the family: Transfer RNA (tRNA) molecules are approximately 80 nucleotides in length. Their secondary structure includes four short double-helical elements and three loops (D, anti-codon, and T loops). The record is from Rfam by way of RNAcentral. Lineage: Eukaryota; Metazoa; Chordata; Mammalia; Artiodactyla; Camelidae. RNAcentral also lists the same sequence under 2 other names.
GAGGCUAUAGCUCAGUGGUAGAGUACAUGCUUAGCAUGCACAAAGUCCUGGGGUUCAAUCCCCAGUACCCCUU